UACUGGGAAAGAGGGUUUAUGUACUUUCCGCGUAUAUACAACGGUGUUAUGGUAUGUAUGCAGAGCAAAGACUGGCAGCGUCGUUGCUGAAUAGUUGGGAAUCGACUCGUGUAUUCCCUACUAAACCGGCUUCUGCUCCGCAAUCGCAAUCUGCCGACCGCGUACGAUGUGUGUUGGGUGUAAAAAAAUUGUACAACUAAACAUUAAAAAAUUAAAACAAGUUUUGUGAAGUUGGAAUUUGUUCCGAGCCAGAUAUGAAACACUAAUUUUAACUUCCAACCAUUCCUUUUUGAUAUUAUUUUAGGUUUGAUCUCGCAAUAAUAAAAGGCUUUCAGUUUUAGCCAUUGUCUCAGUAAAGUGACAAUUUAAGUCGAUAAUUCAGUUUACAUAAACGGUGUGUUCCAAGUGAUAGUUUUGUGAGUGCAUGUUUUCAACAGUUUUUCUUAUUCUCUGUUCAGCAGUUUCCGCAAGAACCAGCGGAACUACCAAAUCAUUUAAGUAGUGUGCUUGGAUGCGACUUCAUAUGUAAAAGUUUGGUGCUUCAGAAAAAAUAACAGACCCCUAAAGAUAAGGCUUACCCUUAUUGUCUAGUGCUGGAUAGUAAUUAAUGUUGAAAACAGAUAAAUGUAAUAUGAUUUCCACUAAAAUAACGGCGGAAAACUUUACGGGACUCCGAAUAAUUCGGAUCCGACCACCGGUUCAGGAAAAAUAUGGAGUAGUAAAUGUUUCCUUUCCGGACUCCAGUUCGCGAAAUACCGGAAGUAGUAGUUAAUCAUUCUAAAAUAGUAGCUGCAUCCAUUUCUCAUAUUAACGAUAAAGAGAAUGGCAUCAUUACACCACUAGAUGGAUUAAAACAGUUUUUUUUAUUGCGUCGUUGUUUCCGGCCAAGGGAUCUGUCACGUAUAUGGUUAGACUAUAUUUCAUGAAUUGUAUGUAUAAAAAAAACUCUGUUCCAUAUGCAAUAUCAGUCCCAUUCAGUGCAAAAUUCAUUAAUGUAUAGUUUAAAUAUUUGUGAUAUAUUACGGUGGUUUUGUAGCACAAGGAAUUCUGAAAUGGAAUUUAGAUCGCCUUUUUCCAUCCUGUCGAUGUUAUGUUAUAUCUCUUUAUUUAGACUCGGCUUUAACUGAUAAGAAUCAUUCACAGGGGAAAGCGUAACUUUUGUUCCAUCAGUGUUGAAUCGAGUUUAAAGUAUAACAGUUUUUUUUAGAAUUAUCAAUUCGUGUAUAAUCGAAACUUAAUUAGAUCUUCGUGCUAUGUUCGUAAAAAUUCUUUUUUUAAAUGGUUUUCAUUCCGUAAUUAUUGCUUUAGUAGUAAGGAAGUAUUUCUGAAAAACGGAUUUUUGUGAAAAUUCCAUGAGUUAUUUUAAUUGUUUAUGAAGAAGGAUAGGUCUAAAAGAUUGUCUAAAUUAGGUGAUGAUCAUAUGCUAUUAAGUGUUGUUUGUUUUGUGUGCAACACAUUUUCUGCAAGAAUAUUCAUAACAGCCAGAACCAUCUUUUGAAAACGGACCGAACUAAUUUGUAUUCCCAAUAGUUAGUAAGUUAGUAUAUAAGUUCCUUUCCCCCAUUACAAAUCACAAGUAGGUUUACAAUUUUCCUUACAAAAAAUCAUAGAAUUGCAGAAGCAAAUGAUGUCUUAAUGGUAAUAACCAAAUCAUGUAUAUUUUUGUCUUGACAUUAUAUUCCUUUUGUGGAAAAUAGCUUUUCUGUUUCAAGAGAAUCAUUGCAUGGCCUAGUGUUACGAUCCUACUGACACUGAGAAUCCCUCCAGGACUCGAACAUACGACAACUGGCUUAUAAGACCAUCGCACUAUACAUUGAACCACCAACCCGAGUUACAUCAUGUAUAUACUAGGGCUGAAUAGUAACCACUUGUGACUGAACGCUCAACAUAAAUCUUAAAAAUUCAUAUUGCAAUUAACAAUACAUUGAACAAAAUAAUGGUUCACAAUGUUUACCUCAAUAAAUAUCGUUAAAGGCUUUAUGUUCAAGGUUUACUUGUCAUUUUACCUGAUUUCUUUGCAUAAUGAGAUCAAUUGUAUCAUCAUUUCGAUUAUAAAACACGAAGUAUCACUGCUGUUCUUUAUUGUACAGCUUGUUGUGCACCAACAUUGAUUUAUUCUGGAGAUUUGAAUCUGUGCCUGCUAGUUCACUCUUUUUAACUUGAAGUAGUUCACUCUUUUAAGAGGCCAAAUAGACUGUGUACAGCAUCCUAUUUCAUGACAUUUUGCCUUGUAUCUAUUUGAGCCCAGUUCUAAUAUGACACGUAUGGCAGGAAGAUGGCAGUAUUUUCGAAUCCAAAACAAUUUUAUAUUUAUAUUUAUUUAAAUUGCUCAUAGCAAUAAUUGCUGGAAGAACAUAAUUUCCUACAGUUAUAUACCAUCGAAAUCAGUUCGUCGAUAUCAGCAAAUGUGUGUGUGACAAACAGUUUUACUCAAUUUUUUCGAAAAUGGCUUAACCAUUUUCUACAAACCAAGAUUCAUAUGAAGUCCUAUGUACCGAUACAUUAUUCUUGAAUUUUAUUUAGAUUCGACUAUUGGUUCCGGAACUACAGAAUGUUUCCUGUGUAAUUUCAACAUCUAGCGAUAUCACCGUAACAUCAGCUGAAAAUACAGUUCUAAUUUCUUUGUUUGUCAACACAAUUUUGAACUUUUGACAUUUUAUGUUACUAUAUUUAGUAUAUACUAUUUUGUUUGGCUCAAGGCCAGGAAAACGCCCGGGUUAUAAUGGGUUGAUAGGCAUUUUCCCAUACAAAAUUGGUGAAUUUCAUCCGAUUCCUCCCAUUUCAACCAGAAUAUUAGUUGAUUUCCUGAAUUCGAUUGGUUAAAAUUUGGUACAACUAAUCGAUUGUUGUUUUAACUAAACUGUCAUUUUUGUUUUUCGAUUAGCAUAAACGAUGGUUGAAACAACUGUUGAAAAAAAAGGCUGUCAAUUAGCGAGGACACAUACCUUUAAAUUUUUAAUUAUAGUUGAAAAAACUGGUGUUGUUAUUGAAACAAAAUUCUGUUAGUUGAAUAAUAAAUCGGUUUUAUUUGUUUCAGACUUUGCAAAUAGUCGAAUCAACUCGAACAAUGUUAUUGAUUUGCGAAAAUAAUCAAAAUAUACUUACUGAUACACGUCAUGAUCUAUUUGAAAUAAGUUCGGUAUGUUGAGAUUCAUGAAAUAAAUAUCUUUGUUAAAAUAUAAACAGUAUUUUAUAUUGACAUGUAAUAUCAUUAGGGCUGGGAAAACCACCGAUCACUGCUGAUUUCAAGUGAUCUUAACCAAGGAAUAAAUUAUCAUUACGAAAUCAGAACUGAUCUGAUCUCUAAGUGAUUUUGAUUUUUGUAUGAUCAUGAUCAUGUCAAGUCGAGAUCAGUAAAGAUCUAAAUUCUAAAAAAAUACUUCUGAUUCGAUCGGAAAUGAUUGAUGUAGAAAAACGUUUUUAAUCAGCAAAAGUGCCCGGAGGGGCGAAUAAAUUAGCGAAAUUAUUAAAUUUACAUAAAAUGAGUAUUGAAAGAUGAUGCCUUCAAAAGGUUAAACUAAAGUUAUGCACUGAUAAUUUUAGUCAAUUUAUAUGAGCUUGGGUGCAUCAACCGCUGGUAAUUGGAAUUUGGCGACGGCUAUUCAAACGCGCCACUCAAUCGCAGCGCGUUCUGUGUGUUUGAAACCCUUCGCUCCUGUUACUUUUAUAAAUUAAAUUCAUGUCAAAAAGCGUUUUAUUGCUAAUGCAUGAACAUCAUCAUCGGUAUCAAACAGUUGGAAGUAAAACAGUCUGCUGGAAGUAAAUCAAUGAUCGAAUUUGAAGCAUACAAUUUUUGCGCAUACCUGAAAGAUUACGAGAUGAUCAUUCAUUAACCUUUUUUUAAUUUGUCACCAAAUCUUUUUCAUCUUAAACAAGGUUAAAUUUAUCACAACACCGCUGUUAGAUACACACUUGUUAUCAUAAAUUUCUCAAAUCGAAUGAACACAAUUUCACCAAACGCUUUAACCAUCGAUGUUGUUUUCAUUGACAUUUUGAAGCGACGCGAACAGAUUUCAACUAAAAAAGUUGUUAAUUUUACAUUGCGAUUAUUGUUUUGCUUUCAACUGUUUCUGGCAUUUGACAGCAUUCAAAACAACAUAUUUUUCAACUACUUGAAUAUAUGCAAAUCAAAAACCAUAUUGGUUGAAUCAAAAAGAAAUUAGUUAAAUCAACUAUCGCAAAAAUAAAAAACUGCGAUAUCGCAAUUUUAUGAUCGAAGGGUUCUCCGUGUAAUACCGGUUCUGGAAACACCAUAAAUAAUUACCAAAAACUCUAAAUUGGAAUUCACUCCGAAAUCUCAUCGAUUCAUAGGAAUAUUUUUUUCGGUUUUAUGAUUUCUUUUUUCCAUUUGACCCGCAGUUUAGAAAUUACAGGAAUUGGUGAUUGAAUUUCAAACUGUCAUUCAAACGAUAGUCAUGACAUAUCCGGCAAAAUUUGUAAAUCGGUCGCAACGGUACACAAAUUUGUAUUAUUCAAUAUUUUUUAUUGUGGAGAAUAAGAAACACUUAAAUCUUCGCAUUUUGGGGCCUCCUGAAAAUGCCCUGGUCCGGGGGAUCCCCCUUUCGGCCUAGCCCGAAGAAAGGUUUAAUCUCACUGCUAGAUGGAUUAAAAACGGUUUUUUUUUAAAUUGAUAGUGUACAUUGUGUUCUAUUCAUGAGGCUAUUAUACAUCCGAUUAAUUGAGCAAAAAUAUAUCUCCGAACGGCGAGAUUUGUGUUCAAACAAAUAUGGCUUACAACACCGACUGCAAACAAACUGAAAUAUCUCAUUGAAACAUUUUUUAUGAAAAUCUAUUUAUCAAAGAUAAUUGUAUUAAUAGUCAUCUCAUUUAUUGAGCCAUCCCAUUAUU
Molecule: long non-coding RNA, 4848 nt
Organism: Malaya genurostris
Lineage: Eukaryota; Metazoa; Arthropoda; Insecta; Diptera; Culicidae
Exons: 4
Source: RefSeq, a predicted model, not a curated record